Molecule: long non-coding RNA, 1446 nt
Organism: Mus musculus (house mouse)
Lineage: Eukaryota; Metazoa; Chordata; Mammalia; Rodentia; Muridae
Product: predicted gene, 34602
Exons: 3
Source: RefSeq, a predicted model, not a curated record
ACACAGCUUUGAGAAGAGACUUAACUAUCACACCAGUGCUAUUCAAGGGAACAGACUUGGUGCCAGGCUAGCCCACCAGAUUCACACCUUACUUUCAGAGCCUGUGACUAUAUUUUCCUGGAAUGGUAAGAAGGACUUUGGCAGUAUGAGUCAGCUAAGGUUCUUGAGAUGGGAGGAUCCCUGGGGCCUCCUGAAUACUCAGCAAAAAGUGGCUCUACCUGGUAAGUACCCUAAUCAGAGGGAUGCAGGGGGAGUCAGGCAGAAGAUGGAAGGAAGAGAGGGAAGGAGGAAAAGACUAGGGGUGAGGGGUGAUGGUGGUGGGGCACUACUGGCUUUGAAAGGAAGGAAGAUGGUCUCUGGAUCUGCAAAGAGCCAUGAAGGAACAGCCUUGAUGACUGUAGAAGACAUGGCAGCCAGUUCCCAAUGGUGCUGGGGACUCCUUGUCCCUCUGAUUUAGAAGAAACCAUCUCUUCACAGAGGUCAGUCCUUCUGUUGGGCUGCUCUCGGGUCUGGUGCCAACCUGAGGCAGGUGGUCAGCUAUAGAUCUGAGUGGAUGAGAGCCUACCCCUCAAAGGGCCAUAGUUCCAGGACCUCAGCCAGGUGCCCUGGUACCUAGAACUUCCACAUGGCUUAAUUUAUUGGCUGUGGAUACUGCCUGCUAUGGGUGUUGGUAAGGUAAGGUGUGGUGUGUGUUGGGGGCAGGAUCAAUGUCCAUUGUCUUCCUAAGUUACUCUCCAUCUUAUUGAUUUAUUAGAGACAGGAUCUCCCUCUAUAUAUGAGUUCACAGAUUCUCCUACCCGGUCGCUUUCCUCUUCAUCUCCACAGCACUGGAAUUAUAUGUCUGUGUCUUUUACUGGGUCCUGGUGGCUAAAGCCUGGGUUCUCAUGCUCACUUGCUCUGCAGAGGAGGGGGGUCAGUCAGGCCAGCCUUCCUCCCCCUCCUUCCCAGCUCUUCGGCUGUCUGACUGUGUAGCCUCAAUCCCUUCAACUCCAGUCUCCUUCACUGCAGAGAGGGCACAACCGCAGCCUCCCAAGAUUGCUGCGGGGGCUGAGGCAUGAAACAUAAAGAAGAUGGCUUCCUUACUCCCAAAAGCCCUACUUCACUUCAACAACGCAUGUUAUCAUUGCCUGCUUGUGAGGAAGCUCCGGUCAUAUCAUUCAGAAUGAUAAACUAAACUCCUGGCAAGGGACCGAAUGUCUCGGGUAUGAUGAAGGUCACCCACUGAAGACUACCUGGACAAUAAUUCCGAGAGUUCAGAGGACUUUGGUCAGAACAAACACAAGCAAUGAGUUUUGUGAUUCCCCUCCACUCCAACUCCCUCCCUAGCCCUGUCUAGGUCAGAGCACCUAGAAACCAUAAUCAUGUGCCCUGAAAACGAAACUCAUUCGGUUCCCCAUCCAUCCUUCCUUUGGCUCUCCCACCAAAGUAAAAAGGCAGGCCGAAGAA